This 611-nucleotide ribosomal RNA is filed under the name uncultured bacterium. Its description in RNAcentral is "bacterial SSU rRNA". It matches the Rfam family "Bacterial small subunit ribosomal RNA", at positions 28 to 681 of the family's 1533-position model. The record is from RNAcentral.
AACGAACGCUGGCGGCAGGCCUAACACAUGCAAGUCGAGCGCGUGUAGCAAUACACGAGCGGCGCACGGGUGAGUAACGCGUGGGAAUCUGCCCUACAGUGGGGAACAACCACGGGAAACUGUGGCUAAUACCGCAUACGUCCUUCGGGAGAAAGGCUUCGGCCGCUGUAGGAGGAGCCCGCGUCCGAUUAGCUAGUUGGUGAGGUAAUGGCUCACCAAGGCGACGAUCGGUAACUGGUCUGAGAGGACGACCAGUCACACUGGGACUGAGACACGGCCCAGACUCCUACGGGAGGCAGCAGUGGGGAGUAUUGGACAAUGGGGGAAACCCUGAUCCAGCCAUGCCGCGUGAGUGAUGAAGGCCUUCGGGUUGUAAAGCUCUUUUAGCGGGGAAGAUAAUGACGGUACCCGCAGAAUAAGCCCCGGCUAACUUCGUGCCAGCAGCCGCGGUAAGACGAAGGGGGCUAGCGUUGUUCGGAAUUACUGGGCGUAAAGGGCGCGCAGGCGGCUUUGCAAGUCAGGCGUUAAAGACCCAGGCUCAACCUGGGGAAUGCGCUUGAUACUGCAGAGCUUGAGAUCGGAAGAGGAGAGUGGAAUUCCCAGUGUAGAGG